Molecule: microRNA, 21 nt
Filed under: Brachypodium distachyon (stiff brome)
Lineage: Eukaryota; Viridiplantae; Streptophyta; Magnoliopsida; Poales; Poaceae
Description: bdi-miR5181b
Source: miRBase by way of RNAcentral
UCCGAUCCAUAAUAAGUGUCG